Molecule: non-coding RNA, 281 nt
Organism: Camellia sinensis
Lineage: Eukaryota; Viridiplantae; Streptophyta; Magnoliopsida; Ericales; Theaceae
Source: RefSeq, a predicted model, not a curated record
CUUAAGGUCCAGCAGCUUGACAUACAACAGCAAGCACUGAAACUCACUGCAAACAGUAUGUAUGGUUGCCUGGGUUUUUCCAAUUCCAGAUUCUAUGCAAAACCGCUUGCAGAGCUGAUAACACUACAAGGAAGGGAGAUCCUACAAAGUACUGUUGAUCUAGUUCAGAAUAAUUUAAACUUAGAGGUGAUCUAUGGUGAUACAGAUUCAAUUAUGAUUUAUAGUGGACUUGAUGAUAUUGCAAAAUGUAAGGCGAUUGCAAGGAAGGUCAUCCAAGAGGU